GUGGGGAAUCUUCCGCAAUGGACGAAAGUCUGACGGAGCAACGCCGCGUGAACGAUGACGGCCUUCGGGUUGUAAAGUUCUGUUAUACGGGACGAAUGGUACGACGGCCAAUACCCGUCGUAAGUGACGGUACCGUAAGAGAAAGCCACGGCUAACUACGUGCCAGCAGCCGCGGUAAUACGUAGGUGGCAAGCGUUGUCCGGAAUUAUUGGGCGUAAAGGGCGCGCAGGCGGCGUCGUAAGUCGGUCUUAAAAGUGGGGGGCUUAACCCCGUGAGGGGACCGAAACUGCGAUGCUAGAGUAUCGGAGAGGAAAGCGGAAUUCCUAGUGUAGCGGUGAAAUGCGUAGAUAUUAGGAGGAACACCAGUGGCGAAAGCGGCUUUCUGGACGACAACUGACGCUGAGGCGCGAAAGCCAGGGGAGCAAACGGGAUUAGAUACCCCAGUAGUCC
RNAcentral lists this ribosomal RNA (450 nucleotides) under uncultured bacterium. Its description in RNAcentral is "partial 16S ribosomal RNA". It matches the Rfam family "Bacterial small subunit ribosomal RNA", at positions 354 to 796 of the family's 1533-position model. The record is from RNAcentral.